This 598-nucleotide ribosomal RNA is filed under the name uncultured Spiroplasma sp. RNAcentral describes it as "bacterial SSU rRNA". It matches the Rfam family "Bacterial small subunit ribosomal RNA", at positions 129 to 715 of the family's 1533-position model. The record is from RNAcentral. Lineage: Bacteria; Bacillati; Mycoplasmatota; Mollicutes; Entomoplasmatales; Spiroplasmataceae.
CCAUUUAGUGGGGAAUAACUGUUGGAAACGACAGCUAAUACCGCAUAAUAUUGCUGGAUAAUUUCCAGUAAUGAAAGGAGCUUUCAAGCUCCGCUGAUUGAUGAGGAUGCGGCGCAUUAGCUAGUUGGUAGGGUAAUGGCCUACCAAGGCAAUGAUGCGUAGCCGAUCUGAGAGGAUGAACGGCCACAUUGGGACUGAGACACGGCCCAAACUUCUACGGAAGGCAGCAGUAGGGAAUUUUUCACAAUGGGCGAAAGCCUGAUGGAGCAAUGCCGCGUGACUGAUGAAGGUCUUCGGAUUGUAAAGGUCUGUUGUAAGGGAAGAAAUGGUAAAACAGGAAAUGGUUUUAUCUAUGACGGUACCUUACCAGAAAGCCACGGCUAACUAUGUGCCAGCAGCCGCGGUAAUACAUAGGUGGCAAGCGUUAUCCGGAUUUAUUGGGCGUAAAGGGUGCGUAGACGGUUUUGCAAGUCUGAGGUUAAAUUUAGGAGCUCAACUCCUAAUCGCCUUGGAAACUACAAGACUAGAGUAUAGGAGAGGUUAGUGGAAUUCCAUGUGUAGCGGUGGAAUGUGUAGAUAUAUGGAGGAACNCCAGUGG